UUUUACCGAGUGGCGGACGGGUGAGUAACGCGUGGGUAACCUGCCUCAUACAGGGGAUAACAGUUGGAAACGGCUGCUAAUACCGCAUAAGCGCACAGUACCGCAUGGUACGGUGUGAAAAACUCCGGUGGUAUGAGAUGGACCCGCGUCUGAUUAGGUAGUUGGUGGGGUAACGGCCUACCAAGCCGACGAUCAGUAGCCGACCUGAGAGGGUGACCGGCCACAUUGGGACUGAGACACGGCCCAA
RNAcentral lists this ribosomal RNA (247 nucleotides) under uncultured bacterium. RNAcentral's name for it is "partial 16S ribosomal RNA". It matches the Rfam family "Bacterial small subunit ribosomal RNA", at positions 86 to 334 of the family's 1533-position model. The record is from RNAcentral.